Molecule: non-coding RNA, 1028 nt
Organism: Macaca mulatta (Rhesus monkey)
Lineage: Eukaryota; Metazoa; Chordata; Mammalia; Primates; Cercopithecidae
Source: RefSeq, a predicted model, not a curated record
CCCCCUGGAGCUCCCUUGGGACUGUCCUUUGAGGGCCUUCUCUUAUGUUUUUCAGGAGAUCUGCUUGAAAACAUCCACCUACUCCACCCAGGGCAGCAGAAACUACUCGGGGAGGCUGUACUGGGCCCCUUCUUCCAGCUGAGAUGGAUAACCUGAAGCACAGAGACAUCAAAUAGGCCACACAGCUGGAAGUGCCAGGACCAGAGCCCAAGUUUAUCCAGCUCCAAAGCACAUGGUCUUUCUCCCAUACCCACUUACCUUCCUGCCUCCUAGUCUGAAGAGAAAACACUCAACAAAGAAAGCUCCCUCACCACCUAAUUGAUGUGGCAUUGGAAACAGCCUUGUUCUUCCUCGCCUACAAUAGACUUCCUUUGCUCCAUUCCAGAGAGGGGAGAAGAAGCAAUGAACUGCCUGGGGGAGGCAGUUCUGCAGAAAGAAUCUGAAGGCCACUGUGGAAGGAAUUGGCCACGGAUGCUGAAUGAUGACAACAGUACUGGAGAAAAUGAGGAGCCACUGGAGGGAUCCAAACAGAGAAGUGUCAUGAUCAGAUCUGAGGUGGGACAGUCAACCUGAUGGUGGUAUAGACAGUGGAUGGGAGAGACCCAAGACCAGCAUCCAAAUUCAAAGGCUGUGAUAAGCUCUAGCUAAAGGCUGGAAACCAGUUCAGACUCACAUACCAGGAUGUCCAACCCAUUCUCAACCAGGAAAAAGGAAGAAGAUUGAAGGAGAAAAAGGGACAGAGAUGGUCACCAAGCUGAAGGCAGAUGAAGAAGUGAGAAGAGAGCAAAGUGCCUUCUUGCUGGGAGCCUCCCUUGUGUCUGGAAUGAUCAGAAAUGGGAGAGAAAUGGUACAGCCUUCAGCAGAUGAAAUUGAGCGGUUGUGCUGUGAGGCGGGCUGUGGUACUUAAAUGCAAUAGCUGAUCUAAUCACUAGUCUCGUUCUCUGGGAAGCUUUUUGCUGCAUUUUAGCACAGAAAAGUGUUGUCUUUCUCUCUUUUGUGGCUCGAGCUGCUAUUUAAGAAAGCAAAAA